This 78-nucleotide transfer RNA is filed under the name Candidatus Omnitrophota bacterium. RNAcentral's name for it is "tRNA-Pro". It matches the Rfam family "tRNA". From Rfam's summary of the family: Transfer RNA (tRNA) molecules are approximately 80 nucleotides in length. RNAcentral also lists the same sequence under 2 other names. Lineage: Bacteria; Pseudomonadati; Candidatus Omnitrophota. The record is from RNAcentral.
CGGGGCGUGGCUCAGUUUGGCUAGAGCGCUUGAAUGGGGUUCAAGAGGUCACAGGUUCAAGUCCUGUCGCCCCGACCA